AACGUAGGUGGCAAGCGUUAUCCGGAUUUACUGGGCGUAAAGCGUGCGCAGGCGGUUCGACAAGUCCGAUGUGAAAGCCCCGGGCUCAACCUGGGAAUGGCAUUGGAAACUGGCGAGCUUGAGUGUGGCAGAGGGGGGUGGAAUUCCGCGUGUAGCAGUGAAAUGCGUAGAGAUGCGGAGGAACACCGAUGGCGAAGGCAGCCCCCUGGGCUGACACUGACGCUCAGGCACGAAAGCGUGGGGAGCAAACAGG
RNAcentral lists this ribosomal RNA (253 nucleotides) under uncultured bacterium. RNAcentral's name for it is "partial 16S ribosomal RNA". It matches the Rfam family "Bacterial small subunit ribosomal RNA", at positions 524 to 776 of the family's 1533-position model. The record is from RNAcentral.